CCUACGGGAGGCAGCAGUGGGGAAUAUUGGUCAAUGGACGCAAGUCUGAACCAGCCAUGCCGCGUGCAGGAAGACGGCUCUAUGAGUUGUAAACUGCUUUUGUACGGGGGUAAACGCAGAUAUGAGUAUCUGUAUGAAAGUAUCGUACGAAUAAGGAUCGGAUAACUCCGUGCCAGCAGCCGCGGUAAUACGGAGGAUUCAAGCGUUAUCCGGAUUUAUUGGGUUUAAAGGGAGCGUAGGCGGUCGGAUAAGUUAGAGGUGAAAUCCCGAGGCUCAACCUCGGAAUUGCAUCUGAUACUGGUCGGCUAGAGAGUAGUAGCGGUAGGCAGAAUGUAUGGUGUAGCGGUGAAAUGCUUAGAGAUCAGACAGAACACCGAUUGCGAAGGCAGCUUACCAAGCUACUUCUGACGUUGAGGCACGAAAGCGUGGGGAGCAAACAGGAUUAGAUACCCUUGUAGUC
Molecule: ribosomal RNA, 460 nt
Filed under: uncultured bacterium
Lineage: Bacteria
Description: partial 16S ribosomal RNA
Rfam family: Bacterial small subunit ribosomal RNA
Source: RNAcentral